This 73-nucleotide transfer RNA is filed under the name Camelus bactrianus (Bactrian camel). It matches the Rfam family "tRNA". From Rfam's summary of the family: Transfer RNA (tRNA) molecules are approximately 80 nucleotides in length. Their secondary structure includes four short double-helical elements and three loops (D, anti-codon, and T loops). Lineage: Eukaryota; Metazoa; Chordata; Mammalia; Artiodactyla; Camelidae. RNAcentral also lists the same sequence under 2 other names. The record is from Rfam by way of RNAcentral.
GAGGGUAUAGCUCAAGUGGUAGAGUGCAUGCUUAGCAUGCAUGAGGUCCUGGGUUCAAUCCUCAGCACCUCCC